Molecule: long non-coding RNA, 3331 nt
Organism: Heterocephalus glaber (naked mole-rat)
Lineage: Eukaryota; Metazoa; Chordata; Mammalia; Rodentia; Bathyergidae
Source: Ensembl
GCCCUCUCUCUCCUCCCUCCUGUCUUUUGUGAGGCUAGGGAUUGAACCAGCACUCUACCACUGAGCUACACCCCAGCCCUUUUUAUUUAUUUUUUAUUUUGAGACAGGAUCGCAUGGUGUUGCCCAGGUUGAAUUUGCAAUCCUCCUGCGUCAGCCUCCCAAGAAACUGGAGUAACAGGUGUAUGCCACCAGGUCCAGCUUGCCUUAACCGUUCCUGAGUGCACCAUUCAGGGCACAAAGCACCGUCUGUCCGAAGAACUUCACCUUGCAGUCAUGCUGGGCACAAAGCUGAAACUGCGGCCAGAACUGGAUAUUGAAAAGGUCCAGCUGCACCUGCUGGUCCAGCUCCAGGCAGCCUGUCUGCUCUGUCCACCUGCCCGGUACCUACUCCACACCUUCUGGACCCGUGUACCUCACAAGAAGUCUUCAAGUCAGGUAUCAAACUCCAGACCUUGGGCUUGUGAGGCAGGUGGUGGAACCACUGAGCUAAAUCCUGGGCCCUAACAUUUCUAAUUUUUUUUGUUUUGUUUUUUUGGUACGAGGGAUUGAAUUCAGGACCUUGCGCUUGCAAGGCAGGCUCCGGAACCACUGAGUUAAAUCCCUGGCCCAACAUUUCUAAUGUUAAACCAGCCAUCGUUCCUGGGAUAAACCCAUCAUGGUUUAGUAUCUUUUGGAUGCCUUUUUUUGGGCUCAGUUUGCCUGUUUUUGUUAAGAAUUUCUGCAUCUAUCCAAGUAUAGUGGUGCACAGGAAGAUCACAAGUUUGAGGCCAGCCUGAGCAACUUAACCAUCCCAUGUCUCAAAGUUUAAAACUAAAAAAAAAACAGUUCUGGGCCGGGGAUUUAGCUCAGUGGUUCCACUGCCUGCCUUGCAACCGCAAGGACCCAAGUUCAAUCCCUGGUACCAAAAGAAUAAAUAAAUAAAUUUUUAAAAAUAAAAAGGUCCUGGGAUAUAGCUUAGUGGUAGAGUGCCCCUGGGUUCAAUCCCAGUAGCAGAGGAGGGCAAUUUCUGCACGUGUGUGACAGGUUUGUCAUUGUCUUUUCUCAUAAUGCUUGUUUGUUUUGGGCAUCAGAAUAAUGCUUGCUUCAUAAAAUGAGUUUGGAAUUAUUCCUUCCUUCUCAGUUUUCUGAAAGAGAUUGUGUGGAACUGGUGUUAUUUUAAUUACAGAUUCAAUUCCUUGAAUGUGGAGCUAUCCAGGGUCCCCCUUUCUUUUUGAUGAGCAAUAGAGGUUUGUAUUUCACAGAGCUCAUCCAUUUACUCUAAGUUCGCACACUUCCUGGCUUAGAGUUGCUCCUGAUAGUCCCUGAUUGCCCUUCUGCGCUGGACUCUGCGAUGCCCCUUCUUCCACUCCCAGUGUCACUGAUCUGUGACUUUCACUGUGGUGACCCCAUGAUCCAUGUGGCUCCUCGGUCGGUCUCUAUGGCCCAGUUUUCUCCGUGUUGUGGUCCCUACCCUUCCUCCCUGUGUGCUGAGGACCCUGCCCUGGUGACAGGCACUGUGGCUCUGACCUGCAGGGAGCUGGUUUUCCCUGGACUCUGGGCCGUGUCCUGUGUGCAGGUUUCCUGGGAGCAGCGAGCCUUGCGCUUCCUUUCAGCCUUGCCCAGUGGGACCAGGGCAGCGUGGAAUCCGGGGGCAGCAGCAUGCUGCAUCAGCGGCACGGGCCUCGUCUGGCAAUCGACGCCCUGCAAAGGAGGGUGUUUUCAAGCUCGAGCUUUGGGAGCAGGGGUUCAUGUCUGGUGUGAGGCCUGGUAACAUUUCUCUCCCACCUUGGGGGGUGACUUCCUCGGCGCUGGGCGGCUCCCCAUGCCCCAUGCUGGCUGAGGUCCAGGUAGGUUCUCAGGGGCCCUUGCUGGGUGCGUGUUCGGGCUCCGUGCUGCUUACCACACACCGGGCAUGGGGCUUCCAUGCCCUUUCCCAGCCUGGUCACUGCCUCAAGUGGCAGUGCCCAGUCCUUAGGAAUUCCUGGGGGAGAGUGAGCUUGGGCCUGCUACUCUAGAGCAUCACCUUUCUACUAAAGCCAUCCACACGUAUUCAUGUCCGGGUGAUGGGGUUCGCUGUGAUAGUCCCACACAUGCACACGCUGUCCUUUGAUCAUGUUUGUCCACCUCAGGAAGAGGCAUAUUUAAUGACUUCGAGAACAAGAAUGGAGCAGCUGUUGGCACCACUUCCACAGCACACCGGGAUCCCAGUCGGGCAAGAAGUCCAAAGUAUGAGAGUUGGUACCGUGAAAAAAGGCUGUUUCCAAACAUGAGUUUGUACGUAGGAAACACCUACAGGAAGCUGUUGGAAUUAGCAGGAUGUGAAAAUCGCUCGGGAUAAGGGAAGAGAUUGGCCGGUCUGACUCAGACCAAUAACUUCUGUGCAAGCAAGGACAUCUGUGAGGCCCAGAAGCACUGUUUGCUGCACACCACUUACAGCUCUGCACUGGAGCAGAAAGCACUCACACGAGACCCCCAAAGCAAACACACAGCAGAAGACGAGCCAGUCUGCAUGUGAGCAGGACCUGGGCCACACUCCCCAGAGCACCUGAACAACUGCUCAGCACAACCCGCCAGGGAGAUGCAAACUAAACCAUGAAGAAAGAUCCCCGACCCAUCAGCCAGCACGCCGGGCUGGCACAGUGGGCGUGGCUCAGACCCAGAGCAGCACAAAGGUACCCUGCCCGAGCAGGGAUCGAACUCAGGACCUUGUGCUUUCAAGGAAGGCGGCAGAACCACUGAGCUAAAUCCCCAGCCCUCAGAAAAGCAUAUCUCAAGGAAACCGGGCCAACCACGAGGAGCCAGGAGCUCCCUGCCGGUGCUGGUGCUGUGUCGGAAGCACUCCUGAGCCGCCUCCUGAGGGGCUUUGCCUUGAGGCUCCUGACCUGGUCUCUCAUUCUGCAGAGGCAACUGGUGACCUAAGGAACGAACUGUUCUGAGCACAGCUUUGAACCUGUCCUGCGUCCUCCCAGCCACACAGUCUCCUCACUGCAUGCAUUGCCCCAUGGCCUGUGGCACCGUGGCGGCCCGUGUGGUUCCUCUGACACAGCAAGACAGGUUCCCUGGCAGCAUCAACAAGAUGUUCUGCCUGCUGUCUGCAUUUCUGCCUCGAACCUGGAGGGCCCGUUUCUCCUGAGCUCCGCUUCUUCUAGAUGUGGCAUGCGUCUGGAAGCGGCCAGGCCUGAGUCAUAUCCAGACCUUGGCCGUGGACAGUCAGGAGAGAUGUUUUACUUUAAAACAUAACGUGUACCAGAAGUUCACAGAAGCUUUCUCUUCAGGCCUGCGCUUUUUUUGCUUCAUCUUCUUAAUUUUAAUCUGUGUUUCCUUUUUCUCAGUUAAAACGCCUGAUACAUCA